GAUUAAGCCAUGGAUGUCUAAGUAUAAGCAAUUAUACCGUGAAACUGCGAAUGGCUCAUUAAAUCAGUUAUCGUUUAUUUGAUAGUACCUUACUACUUGGAUAACCGUGGUAAUUCUAGAGCUAAUACAUGCUAAAAACCCCAACUUCGGGAGGGGUGUAUUUAUUAGAUAAAAAACCAAUGCCCUUCGGGGCUCCUUGGUGAUUCAUAAUAACUUCUCAGAUCGCAUGGCCUUGCGCCGGCGACGGUUCAUUCAAAUUUCUGCCCUAUCAACUUUCGAUGGUAAGGUAUUGGCUUACCAUGGUUU
RNAcentral lists this ribosomal RNA (306 nucleotides) under uncultured fungus. RNAcentral's name for it is "SSU rRNA". It matches the Rfam family "Eukaryotic small subunit ribosomal RNA", at positions 42 to 352 of the family's 1831-position model. Lineage: Eukaryota; Fungi. The record is from RNAcentral.